CAACCCAAGGUAAAGUUUGAACCCCUUGAGUAGUUCAACAUACAGUGCAAAAGUGGUAUAAUACAUAAAACAGAAAGGUAAAAGGAUAACAAGAAAGAACCUGUCAUUAACAAAAACACACGUGAACCAUAUUUACAGUUCAAUACCAAAACAUUUUCAGGCCAGAAUAUAUCAGUAACCUAGGUUGCUCGGACUCUCCAAAAAUGUUACCACACCCAUGUCGGAUCCUCCAAAAAAUGCACUACUUUUGGAGGAUUUGACACGCUCUUGGUGGCAUUUUUGAAGAGUCCGAGCAACAUAGACAGUAACGUAAUAUUCAAGCAUAGUUCUUUAAGAAGGAGAAGUGGAUAUUUCAUUACAUUUGCUGUGAAGUGGAUAUGUUCUUACAUACUUGGAAAAAGGACAAACUGUAGCCACAACAGUUGGACCAGGAGAGCACACCUUAUUACUCAAUGUAAAUAAUAUUCACCGUGCUUCAUUACAUAGCUCAACUCCAGUUCUAAACUUUCAACAACCAGUAACUCAGAAAUCCACCACCACCUCCAGCCCCUAUAAAUAUCCUUGUUCCUGGACACUCAAGUUAGUGUCUCUCAGUAUCUCCUUCCCUCUCUUCCUCUCUCGCUCUCUCUAUCUAUAUAUCUCUCCUUCUCUAUAUAUCUUUCAUAAGUGCAUGUGAGUGGGUAGUAUUUGUGCAUGGAUACAGAAGUGCAUGCAGAAAAAGGAUUUAUACACAAUUAAGCUCUCUCUAUAACACUCCAAAACAAGCAACAAGAGAUAAGAGGAAGAAGCUUAAAGAAGAUGGCAGCAGAACAGAUCAAAAAGCACCCGACAUUACCAGAGGUACAAACUACAGAAUCCUUUUAAAACAUUUGUAAUCACAGGAAAUAUGUGUAUUAAUCACCCUGACAAGCACAAUUUCCCCCCAUAAUUUCUAGGUCAAGGAGGAAUUGAAGAAAAUAAUUGACAGAGGUUUUCCUAUACUUGCUAUGGGCUUGGCAACCUAUUUGAAAAACAUGAUUUUAGUUGUGUGCAUGGGAAGGCUGGGAAGCUUGGAGCUGGCAGGGGGUGCACUGGCCAUUGGCUUCACCAAUAUUACUGGUUACUCAGUCUUGUCUGGCCUAGCCUUGGGGAUGGAACCACUUUCUAGCCAGGCUUUUGGAUCAAGAAACUUAACUUUAGUGUCUCUUGCCCUCCAAAGGACAAUCUUUAUGUUAUUAACUGCAUCUAUACCUAUUGCCUUUUUAUGGUUUAAUUUUGAGUCUCUCAUGCUAAAGCUACACCAAGACUCACAAAUAAUACAUGUAGCAAGUGUAUUUUGCAGAUUUGCUGUCCCAGAUCUUAUUGCUAACAGCUUUCUUCACCCUUUACGCAUCUACUUACGGUGUAAAGGUACAACAUGGCCUCUAUUAUGGUGUACUUCACUUGCAACAAUGCUGCAUUUCCCUAUCACAGUUUACCUGACUUUUACUCUGAGUCUUGGGAUCCAAGGAAUUGCAAUUUCAACCUUUGUCUCCAACUUUGUCACCUUAUUCUUCCUUUUAGGCUAUAUAUUCUUUACUUAUGACCAAAACGGAUCUCCAUCAAAACCCCUAGCAGAAAAUGUAAAACUUCUUCCUUCCAUUUCUGUGGGAGAACAAUGGAUAAUGCUUCUUCAACUUGCUAUACCUAGCUGUUUAGCAGUUUGCUUAGAGUGGUGGUGGUAUGAAUUCAUGACAGUUCUAGCCGGCUACCUUGACAGACCUGAAGUUCCACUUGCUGCAUCUGCUAUCGUUAUACAAACCACAUCCCUCAUGUACACAUUACCUUCGGCCCUAAGUGCUUCAGUCUCAAGCAGGGUAGGGAAUGAACUUGGAGCGGGACGGCCAGCUAAGGCCCGCUUGGCAACAGGGAUAGCCAUAGGGCUGGCCUUUUUGACUUCAACAUUUGGAUUCAUACUGACCACCCUAGGGAGAGAAGCAUGGGGAAGAGUCUUUACAAAAGAUAGAGAAGUUCUGGAGCUAACAGCGACCGUUCUUCCCAUUAUUGGACUUUGUGAACUAGCUAAUUGUCCACAGACAACAUGUUGUGGGGUUCUUCGGGGGAGUGCUAGGCCCGGUGUUGGUGCAGGUAUUAACUUUUACUCGUUCUAUUUGAUGGGAACACCAGUGGCCAUCACUUUGGCCUUCGUUUGGAAGCUAGGAUUUUUGGGCCUUUGUUAUGGGCUUCUAGCAGCUCAAGUGGCAUGUGUAAUCUCAAUGUUAAUAGUCACUUAUAGUACUGAUUGGGAAGGAGCAUCAUUGAAGGCAAAAGAACUAGUGGGAAGAUCUAAUGAACUCCCAUAUGAAGAUCAACUGGUAAAAUUUGAGGAGGGUAAUGGAUUUCUCAAAAGAUUUAGCUUCUGAAGAGGAAGGAAAUCUAAGGAUGCAAUGGAUGGAAAGGAAAAGGAAGAGAUGGCACAGACAAGAAGAAAGCGAAGAACAUUACAUCCUCUCAGUAUUUCGAGUCAUAGAAUAUGCAACAUGUACCUUGGACUUUUGACGUUAAAGCAACUAGUUUCAUAUCUAACAGGAUUGUUGAUGGGAUAAUGGAAGUAUAGGCGAGCAGAAGUGUGUUUUAUAGCCCAAAUGUGUAAAUGUAAGAGGCUUUUGGUUUGCAUUUUCUAGAUAUCAAUAUAUGUUAUCUUAGUAGCUAUGACAUAAACAUUUGCAUGAGCUUCUAGUUUCUAUUUUACAGUUAUCAGACUAACCAUCACAACAUGCUUCAAAUUCAAUGCACCCUCUCUCCCUCCCUUCUUAAAAUUUGAGACAGAAAAGGAGUGCAUUUUAUCUCUGCAUUUGUGGGGCAUAAGCUCUAAAAGAAGAAGCAAAAGCCCUAUGAACUUCAAUUUUGGAUUAUCAAAUAUUAUUUGAAUAUUUAAAAGAUACUUUAGGAGAAAAAAAUAUUCAUUGUUAGGGGAACAAUCUUAUAAAUGGAACAAUUUUGAAUAGAAUAUUAUACUUCUCUAGGAGAAAUCAAUUACAGAAGUGAUAUAUUUUUUCUGAAGAUGUAAAGGUUUACUACAACACAUAUUUAGCUCAUAACAUUGAUUUUGUCAUUUUCACCUUUACUCCAUAUCUUUCACACAGUAAAACAUUUUGUGUACUUGUAAGUCUCUAUAAUAAGACAUUAGCUCAAAUUAACAUUGAUUUUCCUUAGGUAACCAAAAAUUGAGAUACAAAAGGAGCAGUCAGUAGAGAGAUACGAACAAACAGGGUCUGCAGUGAGAGGCCAACAGGAAUAAAAAAAUUUAAAGCCCGGGUGCGAUUUGAUAAUAUUGCCCUAAUGAGAGCCCAGUGCCUUUUAACAUGUUGGUAAGUAUAUAUAUUUCAAAAUCAUAAGUUCAUAACUAUCUGUAGAAAAUGAAAAUUAAAAGAGACCAAGAGAAAAAACUGAACAUAAGACACUAUGAAUUAUGCAAGAGCAUUAAAAUAAAUGUCAAAGACUUUCUUCACUUCUUCCACAACAUUCAUAUAAAAAUACACAGAUUGUGCUCUGCCGAGCCCCUAUACACCCCCUAAUGGCUUCUGAAAUUCAGUGUCUCUACACAUUGGGAGGCAAACUACACAAAGUGGAAAUGUAACUGACUUGGUAGCAGUGUUAUCAAAGGCGAAAAGCACAAAAAAGCUCUAAGGUCUGUUGGGGCUUUAAGCGCAAAGUGCAAAUGAAGCGUGGGCUUUAAUGAAAAAAGGCGCAAAGGGAGAAAAAAAUACAAAUAUAUAUGUUUAGUUCAAGACUAAUAAUUAUAAACAUGAAUGACAAUUAUAUGACCAAAGAAAUUGAUUUUUUUAUGAUAAAGUGAAAUAUCAAUUGUUUAGUGUCACCUCUGACGAGGACGCUCAUUGGCAAGGAAAAAUAUGCAUUAGAACCUUGAUGACAACACUAAAGCGCACAUAAAGCGAGGCGAGGCGCUCAAUACGUUUUGAGCCUUGCUUCAGGGCUCAAGUGUGCCUUUGAUAACACUGCUUGGUAGCAAACAUGGUGUAACAACUGUUUUGUUAACUAGUGAGUUAUCACAACCACUGCAGUCUCUAACUCGAGGCAUUACAAGGAUUCAAAUGGGGAUAACCUAGAGUUAUGCGUUGUAACGGACAGAAUAUCACGUAUACAACAGGAGCUAUAUGUCUAGAAUCCAUUAACUCACCACUAAAUUCAUGUGAUAUUUGGUUAUUUUUCACCCUUUGUCAUGCUAUACUAUUUCCAAAUGAAUUUAACUCGAGUUGUGUGCCUGCACCCGCUGCUUUCUAUACACAUCCAUCUAUGCUCUUUCUGCUCUAUCCUCCCUCUUUGUAGAUUUGAUCAAGCAAAAGCCUUUACCUUUUUGUUUUGAAUCCCUAUACCCGAACUCCUUCACAUAUUCUUUUCUCUGUGUAGAGUUACAACAAUUCCAAUACACUAUUAGCACUUAACUAUGUGUCCCUUUUCUUUUACCUUCCAAUUCCCAAAAGCUAACAACCAUAAGUGCCUCAACAGUGUAAAAAAGAAAAGACCUUUCUCAACAAUCCUUAACGACUAGGGAUAUUUGGAUAAAACUUUCAAACUCUAAUUUCUCUUCCUUCAUUCACUUGUAAAUUCUUUCAUGUGUAAUACUCGCCAUUCAGAUUGCUAGGGACUGCCAUUUUUAGCUAUGUAUUACGCACUUGAUGUUAAUGUAAGUUUCAACGGAUAGAACACAUUAUCAGAGAUUCGUUGAGUCUAAUUUGUACCAUCUAACCUCGAAAAAAAAAGGAUCUGAAUGUGGAUCAUCAAAACAGAAGAAAUUCAUCCACAACUAUAUAUAUGCUCAUUAAACACUCCAAUUUUAUUUGACGUAUUCACUGAGAGUUCAUGCAUUGUCUUGUUACCUGUCCAUACCAGUAGUCCUAGUAUUGUUGUUGUAGUUUCUUGUAAUUCAAUUAUCUUAUUACUAUGCCGUAGUAACUGUUCAGAAUGCUUUGCUAUACUUUUUCUGGAUUGCCUUCAAUUGUUUUUUUCCCUAAAACCUCUCUACCUCAAUCUCCCCAGACUCCACUUUGUGGGACUGACUACAUUGAGUCAAUGCUAGAAGAAAUAGAAUUUGUAGAAAUUUCAUAAUCAGAGCAGUUCAACUAAAGGAAAAUGACAGAGUAUUGCCCUAUUUUGGACUAAACGCAAUUUCAAGUGCCAAUUUAUAACAACUAAGGAUUUCAAUUCUCGUGACAAAAAUGUAAAAGGAGUAAAAUGCGAAAGAGAGAAAACGAGCUUACCGGUGAUCACAGAGGAUAAAUAAUCGGAGAUUCCACCGGACGGAGCUCAACGUCGGAGCAAAAUUAAAUUUUCCAACGAAACGCUGUUACAAAAACGUGAUUUCACAGAUCGUAAACAACUUCUCCGUGAUCUAUUCUUAUUGGGCUUAGAUAUCACGGCUCGUUUAGAUGGG
Molecule: long non-coding RNA, 5413 nt
Filed under: Solanum tuberosum (potato)
Lineage: Eukaryota; Viridiplantae; Streptophyta; Magnoliopsida; Solanales; Solanaceae
Description: long non-coding RNA (STUB_LNC001922)
Source: RNAcentral